RNAcentral lists this small RNA (315 nucleotides) under Arabidopsis thaliana (thale cress). Its description in RNAcentral is "ATSL273080". The record is from RNAcentral. Lineage: Eukaryota; Viridiplantae; Streptophyta; Magnoliopsida; Brassicales; Brassicaceae.
AUGAAUCCAUGAAACAUGAUAGUGCAAAAUACACACUUAUCAACUCCCCCAAACUUAGUCUUUGCUUGCCCUCAAGCAAACAAUCAAGAACAAGCUGGAGGUGAGGUUUGGAAGCGGGGACUCAGAGCCAAAGCACCAGAUAGACCAAAUGAAAUCAAUGUCCAAGUUGAAAGUUCUAAGCUGCAAGAUCAAAUUCUACUUAAAAAUGUUAGCCAUGCCUCAUCAAUCAAUCAAUCCGACUCAUAUGCUCGACCUACACAAGUUUUCAAAUCUACCAAUCCCUUUAACAUUCAUUAGUUCUAGAACGUGAAUCAA